GACGAACGCUGGCGGCGUGCUUAACACAUGCAAGUCGAACGGAAAGGCCCUGCUUUUGUGGGGUGCUCGAGUGGCGAACGGGUGAGUAACACGUGAGUAACCUGCCCUUGACUUUGGGAUAACUUCAGGAAACUGGGGCUAAUACCGGAUAGGAGCUCCUGCUGCAUGGUGGGGGUUGGAAAGUUUCGGCGGUUGGGGAUGGACUCGCGGCUUAUCCGCUUGUUGGUGGGGUAGUGGCUUACAAAGGCUUUGACGGGUAGCCGGCCUGAGAGGGUGACCGGCCACAUUGGGACUGAGAGACGGCCCAGACUCCUACGGGAGGCAGCAGUGGGGAAUAUUGCACAAUGGGCGGAAGCCUGAUGCAGCAACGCCGCGUGCGGGAUGACGGCCUUCGGGUUGUAAACCGCUUUCGCCUGUGACGAAGCGUGAGUGACGGUAAUGGGUAAAGAAGCACCGGCUAACUACGUG
RNAcentral lists this ribosomal RNA (468 nucleotides) under uncultured bacterium. RNAcentral describes it as "partial 16S ribosomal RNA". It matches the Rfam family "Bacterial small subunit ribosomal RNA", at positions 28 to 507 of the family's 1533-position model. The record is from RNAcentral.